AUGAACACUGGCGGCGUGUCUAAGGCAUGCAAGUCGAGUGGGUUUAGACCCACGGCAAACGGGUGCGUAACACAUUGGUAACCUACCCCUGACUCGGGCAUAACCAACCGAAAGGUUGGAUAAUUCCCGAUAGGCAUGAGGGGACAAAAGUCAUUCUCAUGUAAAGUUUUUUCGGUUGGGGAGGGGCCUAUGGCCCAUCAGCUAGUUGGUAAGGUAAUGGCUUACCAAGGCUAUGACGGGUAGCGGGUGUGAGAGCAUGACCCGCCUCACUGGGACUGAGAACUGCCCAGACUCCUACGGGAGGCUGCAGUCGAGAAUAUUCCGCAAUGGCCGAAAGGCUGACGGAGCGACGCCGCGUGCAGGAAGACGCCCUUCGGGGUGUAAACUGCUUUUCUAUGGGAGGAAUUCGUGACGUUACCAUAGGAAUAAGUCACUGCUAACUUCGU
RNAcentral lists this ribosomal RNA (446 nucleotides) under uncultured bacterium. RNAcentral describes it as "bacterial SSU rRNA". It matches the Rfam family "Bacterial small subunit ribosomal RNA", at positions 29 to 506 of the family's 1533-position model. The record is from RNAcentral.